CGAAAUGCGAUAAGUAAUGUGAAUUACAGAAUUCAGUGAAUCAUCGAAUCUUUGAACGCACCUUGCGCUCCUUGGUAUUCCUUGGAGCAUGCCUGUUUGAGUAUCAUGAAAUCUUCAAAGUAAAUCUUUUGUUAACUCAAUUGGCUUCUACUUUGGUAUUGGAGGUCUUUGCAGCUUCACACCUGCUCCUCUUUGUUCAUUAGCUGGAUCUCAGUGUUAUGCUUGGUUCCACUCGGCGUGAUAAGUUAUCUAUCGCUGAGGACACUGUAAAAGGUGGCCAAGGUAAAUGCAGAUGAACCGCUUCUAAUAGUCCAUUGACUUGGACAAUACUUUUAUGAUCUGAUCUCAAAUCAGGUAGGACUACCCGCUGAACUUAAGC
This 379-nucleotide unclassified non-coding RNA is filed under the name plant metagenome. RNAcentral describes it as "partial contains 5.8S ribosomal RNA, internal transcribed spacer 2, and large subunit ribosomal RNA". The stretch from base 1 to 106 matches the Rfam family "5.8S ribosomal RNA", at positions 49 to 154 of the family's 154-position model. The record is from RNAcentral.